This 498-nucleotide ribosomal RNA is filed under the name uncultured bacterium. Its description in RNAcentral is "partial 16S ribosomal RNA". It matches the Rfam family "Bacterial small subunit ribosomal RNA", at positions 28 to 523 of the family's 1533-position model. The record is from RNAcentral.
GAUGAACGCUGGCGGCGUGCCUAAUACAUGCAAGUCGAACGGUAACGCGGGGCAACCUGGCGACGAGUGGCGAACGGGUGAGUAAUGCAUCGGAACGUGCCCAGCCGUGGGGGAUAACGCAGCGAAAGCUGUGCUAAUACCGCAUACGAUCUCUGGAUGAAAGCGGGGGCCGGAAAGGCAUCUCGCAAUUUGAGCGGACACUGUCAGAUUAGGUAGUUGGUGGGGUACAGGCGCAACAAGCCAAAGAUCUGUAGCGGGUCUGAGAGGACGUACAGCAAAACUGGGGCAGAGACACGGCCCAGACUCCUACGGGAGGCAGCAGUGGGGAAUUUUGGAUAAAGGGCGCAAGCCUGAUCCAGCAAGGCCGCGUGCAGGAUGAAGGCCUUCGGGUUGUAAACUGCUUUUGUACGGAGCGAAACGGCUUCCACUAAUACUGGGGGCUAAUGACGGUACCGUAAGAAUAAGCACCGGCUAACUACGUGCCAGCCGCCGCAGUAA